CUUCGAACGCACAUUGCGGUCUUCGGAUACUGUUCCUGGACCACUCCUGGCUGAGGGUCGUUUCAAUUUCCACGACUGCCGGGCGUUACGUGCACCGCAACGUCGGUGCUCGCCGAGGCAAAUAUAUGGCCGUUCGCGAGAAACCUUAUUCAAAACGUCGUUCGUUUCGUACAGCCCCGCACUCGUUCGGAGGCGUCUGAACGUGUCCGACGUUAAGGUGUAUCGCGUCGGUUUAAAUUACCGCCACUAAAAUAAGGUUCGCGGCGAACAGCGUAUGUUGUAUUAUAUACGCCCGUCGGAACUCGACUGUGGUCGACGUGUCAGAGACAAGACCGAGGAUGAAAUGCUUGCAUAUUCGUUAUCCCGAGUUUUGCGUUGCGGGGAACGGGUGUCGUCGUAUCAGUCCGGGCGUUAGUUGUUCAUAGCGAUAACUCUGUGAAGUACGACGACCACGAAGUCGGUCGUCUUCAUAUUAUUAUGUCGCGAUAACUAACUUACCUAGACGGACGACAGAUAGCCACGUUUAACCAACCGUCGUCAGACCUAUCGGUUCGACAUUCGCUGCGCGGGUUAACAGUCGUCGCCGGUCGAGGCGACGCGGACCGCGCGAAUGAAUAAAACGGGCGUGUGCCGUUUGUGUGACCAAAGGCGUGUUUGUAAAUUUUAUGAACGA
RNAcentral lists this unclassified non-coding RNA (673 nucleotides) under Onthophagus nebulosus. RNAcentral describes it as "sequence contains 5.8S rRNA gene and ITS2". Lineage: Eukaryota; Metazoa; Arthropoda; Insecta; Coleoptera; Scarabaeidae. The record is from RNAcentral.